Molecule: ribosomal RNA, 468 nt
Filed under: uncultured bacterium
Lineage: Bacteria
Description: partial 16S ribosomal RNA
Rfam family: Bacterial small subunit ribosomal RNA
Source: RNAcentral
GACGAACGCUGGCGGCGUGCUUAACACAUGCAAGUCGAACGGAAAGGCCCUGCUUUUGUGGGGUGCUCGAGUGGCGAACGGGUGAGUAACACGUGAGUAACCUGCCCUUGACUUUGGAAUACCUUAAGGAAACGGGGGUAAAUACCGGGAAGCAUUUCUGCCUGCUGGGGGGGGGUUGGAAAGUUCGGGGGGUUGGGGAUGGACUGCCGCUUAACAAGCUUGUGGGGGGGGUAGUGACUUACCAAGGCUUGGACGGCUAGCCGGCCUGGGCGGGUGACCGGCCACAUUGGGACUGGGAUACGGCCCAGACUCCUACGGGAGGCAGCGGUGGGGAAUAUUGCACAAUGGGCGGAAGCCUGAUGCAGCAACGCCGCGUGCGGGAUGACGGCCUUCGGGUUGUAAACCGCUUUCGCAUGUGACGAAGCGUGAGUGACGGUAAUGGGUAAAGAAGCACCGGCUAACUACGUG